Non-coding RNA from Paramuricea clavata, 614 nucleotides. The record is from the annotation of a GenBank genome assembly. Lineage: Eukaryota; Metazoa; Cnidaria; Anthozoa; Malacalcyonacea; Plexauridae.
GGUCGAACCAAGUGUUUUGUAUUAUACCAACUAUACUGCAUACAAUUUAUGUAUAGUUGUAUGAUAUUUGUGAUUGUAGUGAAAAAGUUAAAUUAAGUAUACGGUACCUGAAAGAUAUAAAACCGGGUUGCUUCAAUCAGUAAGAGGAGUGUCAAUCAUUCGUUGUCGAAUAUUCUACAUUACACAUUCCGCUCUGUAUUCUGUGAUAGCAAGCUUGGUUGAUCUCGCGUGAAGAGGUAUGCCGUGUUAUAUUCAUCCCAGACGAAGUUCUGGAAGUGUUUUCAAGAAUAUGGCUCCAAUACUCCGAAACCAGAGCUAGUUUUGUUAUAAAUAACUGAGAUGUAACAAGUAUUUGGUUAGUACCAACAUUGGUAACAUAGAUAUGACUGGUAUUUCAUACAAAACUUCGGAUAUGAUUGACCGACUAUGGCGUGUAGCUGUUGUGUUUGUCUUGAUGAGUAUCUCUACGGACAGUAUUGAAACAACAAAUGAUAUCAACAAUUCAAAUGUACCAGUGAGAACAACUGAAUCACCAGUUCAGAAUAUGACAACAGUGACAGUGCAGACAACAGAAAGUCCGUUAAUACCUCAUGUCAACGUCACUGCAGUCACAG